RNAcentral lists this ribosomal RNA (253 nucleotides) under uncultured bacterium. RNAcentral's name for it is "partial 16S ribosomal RNA". It matches the Rfam family "Bacterial small subunit ribosomal RNA", at positions 524 to 776 of the family's 1533-position model. The record is from RNAcentral.
UACGGAGGAUCCAAGCGUUAUCCGGAUUUAUUGGGUUUAAAGGGUGCGUAGGCGGAAUGAUAAGUCAGUGGUGAAAGCCUGCAGCUUAACUGCAGAACUGCCAUUGAUACUGUCAAUCUUGAGUACAUUUGAUGUGGGCGGAAUGUGUCAUGUAGCGGUGAAAUGCGUAGAUAUGCGGAGGAACACCGAUGGCGAAGGCAAUCCCCUGGGCCUGCACUGACGCUCAUGCACGAAAGCGUGGGGAGCAAACAGG